UUUUUUUUAACCCCCGGGAAAACUAGCAUAUCAAUAAGCGGAGGAAAAGAAAMCAACAGGGAUUGCCUCAGUAACGGCGAGUGAAGCGGCAACAGCUCAAAUUUGAAAUCUGGCCCUAGGCCCGAGUUGUAAUUUGCAGAGGAUGCUUUUGGUGCGGUGCCUUCCAAGUUCCCUAGAACGGGACGCCAGAGAGGGUGAGAGCCCCGUACAGUUGGACACCAAGCCUUUGUAAAGCUCCUUCGACGAGUCGAGUAGUUUGGGAAUGCUGCUCAAAAUGGGAGGUAUAUUUCUUCUAAAGCUAAAUACCGGCCAGAGACCGAUAGCGCACAAGUAGAGUGAUCGAAAGAUGAAAAGCACUUUGAAAAGAGGGUUAAACAGCACGUGAAAUUGUUAAAAGGGAAGCGCUUGUGACCAGACUUGCGUCCGGUGAAUCACCCAGCUCUCGCGGCUGGGGCACUUCGCCGGCUCAGGCCAGCAUCAGCUCGCUGUCGGGGACAAAAGCUUCAGGAACGUAGCUCUCUUCGGGGAGUGUUAUAGCCUGUUGCAUAAUACCCUUCGGCGGGCUGAGGUACGCGCUCCGCAAGGAUGCUGGCAUAAUGGUCAUCAGCGACCCGUCUUGAAACACGGACCAAGGAGUCAACCUUAUGUGCGAGUGUUCGGGUGUCAAACCCCUACGCGUAAUGAAAGUGAACGCAGGUGAGAGCUUCGGCGCAUCAUCGACCGAUCCUGAUGUUCUCGGAUGGAUUUGAGUAAGAGCAUAUAGGGUUGGACCCGAAAGAAGGUGAACUAUGCGUGUAUAGGGUGAAGCCAGAGGAAACUCUGGUGGAGGCUCGCAGCGGUUCUGACGUGCAAAUCGAUCGUCAAAUAUGCGCAUGGGGGCGAAAGACUAAUCGAACCUUCUAGUAGCUGGUUUCCGCCGAGUUCCCCCCUCCGGAAAAAAAAAAACU
This 947-nucleotide ribosomal RNA is filed under the name Colletotrichum sp. RNAcentral's name for it is "partial large subunit ribosomal RNA". It matches the Rfam family "Eukaryotic large subunit ribosomal RNA", at positions 1 to 990 of the family's 3401-position model. Lineage: Eukaryota; Fungi; Ascomycota; Sordariomycetes; Glomerellales; Glomerellaceae. The record is from RNAcentral.